This 20-nucleotide small nuclear RNA is filed under the name Phaeodactylum tricornutum CCAP 1055/1. RNAcentral's name for it is "snRNA PTsRNA00046a". Lineage: Eukaryota; Bacillariophyta; Bacillariophyceae; Surirellales; Neidiaceae. The record is from RNAcentral.
UCGAACCCGGUACUUCCUAC